RNAcentral lists this long non-coding RNA (1272 nucleotides) under Homo sapiens (human). Its description in RNAcentral is "novel transcript". The record is from RNAcentral. Lineage: Eukaryota; Metazoa; Chordata; Mammalia; Primates; Hominidae.
AGAAGCCUGUUACCAGAAGCACUGGUUACUUCCCCCGUCCUCUCAGCUCUGGGAAGGGUGGGGUGGUCAUGAAGUCCUGAGAGAGCAGAGGGACACACCAACUUCUCUUGUUGGUUCCCUCAACCCUGCCCAUACCUAUGGGUAAUCAGAGAUGGAUUCAGUCUCCAGUUAGGAUCCUCAUCAAGGUAUUUGUAUGGGGGAUUCCAUGCAGAUGGUGUAUAGAGAGAAGAUAGACACAAGGGAUCUUCAUAGCCAAGGACUGGAUUUGAACAAGUCAGUCUCCAGCUAUGUUUUAGACACUGAGGACUGUGCCCGUCAUCCCUUAGAGCUUCUCUCUGGGCCACUGGCUCGAAGGGCACAUCUCAGGGAAAAAGGUCAGUGUGAUUCCCUUAUUUCUUUGUGGAAAGACCUCAGUAGCCAAAGGUGUUUGCCCGUGUUAUUUGUCUGAACAAGAUCUUCUCUAGGACAGCUAGGUCCACAGGACAGCACCAAGAGUUACUCUGCAUGCUUAUAGUACCUGCUUACGAACAGAAACAGAGGCAAUAUUCACAUGAAAGCUCAAAUGUGGAUCUCUCCUACCAUAGUCACGUCUUCACAAGCUGACAGCCCUCUCAAUUCUGAGAUUUGUUAUUCAGUCUUUUCCCAAUAGGAUCUACAAAGCACCUCUUGACCAUUUAUCAUGCAUGGAACCAACAUGUCAAAUUCCUCAAUAACUGAUUCCCGCCUAGGAUCACACUCAUUGACUAGCUCCGCCAAUUCUUACAAUUCAUUCAGGCUCUGCUACAAGCAUACAGCUUUGCUAGAAGUAGAUUUCUUCUAGGAAAUUUCAUGCUACUGAGAGGUUGUGUGGCAGAGCCAUGUUGCCAUUCUUCCAGCAUGACUUGAUAGCUAAGUUGAACACUAUCCCAAGGAGAUGCCUCCUUGACAACUUACACUGCAAAGUGAAUCAUAACCCUGACCCUGGAGACUGCUAUAACGGGCUCCUGUGAGAGUUCUAUUUGCAGAACCCAGAAUUCACAACGGAACAUCAACAUAUCCAAAAGACAAGUUUCAAUGAACAGAUUCUCAGCAAAAGGACUCUAAGGAUGCAGAGGAAGGGAAGUCACCCAAUCUGGGAAGGAGAUUACUCAGUCUCGGGUAUGUGUAUCAGCAAUGUGAAAACGGACUAGUACAUCUCUAGAGGCACAUGCCAUGUGGUCCAGCCAUAAUUAUUUGUUGUCACAACUAAGUUUCCUUUCUAUAUGAAAAGAUUAUAUUGAUCAGAAUUCUAAA